This is a long non-coding RNA of Ochotona curzoniae (black-lipped pika), 1059 nucleotides long. RefSeq lists it as uncharacterized. The record is from RefSeq and is a predicted model, not a curated record. NCBI's taxonomy places the organism in Eukaryota, Metazoa, Chordata, Mammalia, Lagomorpha, Ochotonidae. The transcript is spliced from 5 exons.
GUGUGCCCACCAUGCAUGCAUGGCCUUGGCUUUGUCUGGAGUCGCAUGCUAGGUCAGGUCUGUGCGUGCGUGGACAGAGCAGGGAGGGCACUCUACUUGGAUCUAUUGGAGUGCUUUGCUCUGCAAGUGUCAAAGCGAAAGGUUGGGAUUGAAACCAACAUCUUAAAGCCCUUUUUAAAAACACAGGAUGUGAAAUUGAACUUAAAAAAUAUUUUCCUGUGGACUGUAUCAUCUUCACAUAUGUCUGGAGGAUGAAAUUUCCUAAUACUUUGGAUAUGCGAUUGUCAGUACAAGCAGUAACGUUGGCGUUUUCCACAUCACUGCAGGGUUCAGCUGCACCUUGGUUAGAAAAACGUUAGACAAAAGUGAGCUGGUAACAGCAUUUGCGUGUGGACUGUUGAACGGCCUAAGGGAAGACAGGAAACGAACACACCUGACCCAGUGUCUUCCAGAUCUUUCUGUGUCUGUGUGCUGUGGACAUAAACAGAAAAGAACAGGCGGAAGUUUGAGGCUGCGUGCCAGAUGCGUGGACUAACUUCUGGGCUUUCCCACCUGACCUGUCGGAUGUGUAUCCAUAGCUAUGCCAGUGCCAGGCUGCUUGGAUUAUAACUACCCUGAGGUCCUUAGAACAGAGCUGGCCCCUGGCUGAUGCAGUGGAUGAACACUCAGGCUCAUCUCUGAUUACUGGAGCGGCGAUGAUGGGGGGGCUGUGCCUUCAGCAGGGGCAGCGUCUGGUCCCAGGCUGACAGCUCAGUGUCCCCAGCCUCUCCUGCGUUGUCCCCAGCCACAUCCCACGGCACAGGCACCUGGUAAGCCCCACUACAUGCCCACAGAAGAGUGAGGACAAUAGGUCACGUGUUGGCCUUUGUGCCCCGACAGCACCCUCUGGGAUCCACUGGCUCUAGGCUAGUGGCUGACGGGCGCUUGCCAAAUGGCAGCUUGCCUGAGGCUCGUCCAUCCAAGCCCCAUGCAAGACGAGGGGAGCCACAGGGCCGGGAGCCAGCUUACCAUAGGUGUGGGAGAUGCCGCAGUCUUCCACUUGCUAGGUCACUUCCUGAA